AUUGAACGCUGGCGGCAGGCCUAACACAUGCAAGUCGAGCGGAGCGGCGGACGGGUGAGUAAUUCCUAGGAAUCUGCCUGGUAGUGGGGGAUAACGUCCGGCAACGGGCGCUAAUACCGCAUACUAUCAGAUGAGCCUAGGUCGGAUUAGCUAGUUGGUGGGGUAAAGGCCUACCAAGGCGACGAUCCGUAGCUGGUCUGAGAGGAUGAUCAGUCACACUGGAACGGAGACACGGUCCAGACUCCUACGGGAGGCAGCAGUGGGGAAUAUUGCACAAUGGGCGAAAGCCUGAUGCAGCCAUGCCGCGUGUAUGAAGAAGGCCUUAGGGUUGUAAAGCACUUUAAGUCGGGAGGCGUUACCGACAGAAUAAGCACCGGCUAACUUCGUGCCAGCAGCCGCGGUAAUUC
RNAcentral lists this ribosomal RNA (407 nucleotides) under uncultured bacterium. Its description in RNAcentral is "partial 16S ribosomal RNA". It matches the Rfam family "Bacterial small subunit ribosomal RNA", at positions 30 to 526 of the family's 1533-position model. The record is from RNAcentral.